This 1534-nucleotide long non-coding RNA is filed under the name Prunus persica (peach). RNAcentral describes it as "long non-coding RNA (PPER_LNC007179)". The record is from RNAcentral. Lineage: Eukaryota; Viridiplantae; Streptophyta; Magnoliopsida; Rosales; Rosaceae.
AGCAUUUCACACCUGAGCUGUCCAGGUUGCAAGGGAGAAGCCAUACCAAUACGCUUGAUAUUAGAUUUUCAAAUUCUUGAAACUACAACUCAAAAUUUAUAAAUAGUAGACACUUCAGAAACUGAACAAUAUAUACCUCACAUUUAUGUUUUGAAAUUAUCUGCUUCAAAAUACAUAGACGAAGCUAGCAAGUCCUUAAAUGUGGAAAACUAUUCACUCAAAAUUUACAUUUAAGUAAAUGGUAAUACAAGAGGGAUAAUUAGUUACACCAAGCUGAGAUAUAUUGUGCAUUUGCAAGAACUUCUUCUCUCCUUGAUUCCUUGCGAAAAAUCAUGGCAAAAUGCUUUUGACAAACAUGUGAGCCUCAAAGCCGCUGCCCCAUUUAAAUAUAAAAGGGAUGCAGUCAUCCGAACCCCAUGGGACAAUGCCCUUGAAGCAUUUGAGGCCUCAUUGGAGGCUUUCAAAACGAAGGUAGAUUUGUUUCUCCCGAAGUCCAAUGUGGUGAUGCUCAAGCUAGAGGACGCCAUGUCAGCUUUGAAUUUGAGUUGAACCCUAACCAGUCCCUUUUCAUGCAUGCACUUUAAUCUGUAGUUUACUUUACAUUAUGAUAAAAAUACAAGUCGUCCACGUUGGCAAUCCACGACUCACUAAAGCAGCCAAUCAGGGACAUUUCCCUCGAUUUUUAUUUAUUUAUAUUUUCUCUUAUCCGAUAAUUAAUCAUCGGUACUAUCACCUUGCUUAUUUUCUAUUAUACUAUAGCCCCCCGCCCCCCAAACUCUUCCACCUUAUAUAUAAAUCAAAUACCCAAUCUUCUCUUUUAACUUUCUGCAAAUCCCACCCACCCCACCCCAUUGCACCCACACAUCACCGUCGUAUAACCCACCUCUCUCCCUCUCCCAAUCAUUUUCUUCAUCACAGCACAGUUAGCACCCAAAAAAUUUUUGAUGAGCUAAUCUAAUAGAAGACCUACUAAUUUCACUAGAAAAUAGACAAAAUGAAGACCCAUAUGUGUCUAACUAAUGAGAAGAUCCAGUAAUUUCACCGAAGAAGAAAAAAAUAGAAAUUUAAACAUUCAAACGCAUUAAACGUUACAACACAUUAAACAUGAGAUAUAUGAAGUUAUGAAGCCAUUAAAGUCAAAAGCCAUGAGAGAUAUGAACCCAAAUCAGAAACGCGAACAAGAAAACCAUCAAAUCUACAGAGUGAGAGUGAGAGUGAGAGAGAGAGAGAGAGAGAGAGAGAGAGAGAGAGAGAGGUUACACUGGGGAGACGAAGAGGCCAAAGGUUAUGACAUUGUCUGCCAAAGGUGAUGAAGAUGGAGAUAAAUGAUGCAAUGAGAUGAGAGUAGUGAGUGUUGUGUGCGGCUAGGGUUAGGAAACGAAGGAGAGGCUGAGAGAAAUGUGAGGGAGAGGUGGAGAGAGACUAGAUUCGUGAGUUUUAGUUAUGGAUGAGUUUUUCAGGCUUUUGGAGUCCAAUCAUGUGCGGAAUGGUGCAUGAUAACACUUACAAAUAACCACUCAAGCCUUGCCACAUG